RNAcentral lists this ribosomal RNA (451 nucleotides) under uncultured Macromonas sp. RNAcentral's name for it is "bacterial SSU rRNA". It matches the Rfam family "Bacterial small subunit ribosomal RNA", at positions 923 to 1382 of the family's 1533-position model. The record is from RNAcentral. Lineage: Bacteria; Pseudomonadati; Pseudomonadota; Betaproteobacteria; Burkholderiales; Comamonadaceae.
GCACAAGCGGUGGAUGAUGUGGUUAAUUCGAUGCAACGCGAAAACCUUACCACCUUUGACAUGGCAGGAAUCCUUAGAGAUAGAGGAGUGCUCGAAAGAGAACCUGCACACAGGUGCUGCAUGGCUGUCGUCAGCUCGUGUCGUGAGAUGUUGGGUUAAGUCCCGCAACGAGCGCAACCCUUGCCAUCAGUUGCUACGAAAGGGCACUCUGAUGGGACUGCCGGUGACAAACCGGAGGAAGGUGGGGAUGACGUCAAGUCCUCAUGGCCCUUAUAGGUGGGGCUACACACGUCAUACAAUGGCCGGUACAAAGGGCAGCAAACCCGCGAGGGGGAGCCAAUCCAUCAAAGCCGGUCGUAGUCCGGAUCGCAGUCUGCAACUCGACUGCGUGAAGUCGGAAUCGCUAGUAAUCGUGGAUCAGCAUGUCACGGUGAAUACGUUCCCGGGUCUU